This 252-nucleotide ribosomal RNA is filed under the name uncultured bacterium. RNAcentral's name for it is "partial 16S ribosomal RNA". It matches the Rfam family "Bacterial small subunit ribosomal RNA", at positions 524 to 776 of the family's 1533-position model. The record is from RNAcentral.
UACGUAGGGAGCAAGCGUUGUCCGGAAUUACUGGGUGUAAAGGGAGCGUAGGCGGGGAUGCAAGUUGGGUGUCAAAACUACCGGCUCAACCGAUAGUCGCACUCAAAACUGCAGCUCUUGAGUGAAGUAGAGGCAGGCGGAAUUCCUAGUGUAGCGGUGAAAUGCGUAGAUAUUAGGAGGAACACCAGUGGCGAAGGCGGCCUGCUGGGCUUUUAUUGACGCUGAGGCUCGAAAGUGUGGGGAGCAAACAGG